RNAcentral lists this long non-coding RNA (4056 nucleotides) under Triticum aestivum (bread wheat). RNAcentral's name for it is "long non-coding RNA (TAES_LNC014656)". The record is from RNAcentral. Lineage: Eukaryota; Viridiplantae; Streptophyta; Magnoliopsida; Poales; Poaceae.
GCUUCCUGGCGACGGCGGCGGCGCUGGAUUUUCUCAUGGGUUGGUGGUGUAUCUACCGCUGACCUCCGGCACAGAUACACCGACCUCCGGGGCCCCAGCCCCUCCGCCCCCGGCCUCACCUUUCCCGUGUCCGCCCUCGCCGAGCAUUGAAUCUGCCGGCCACCAGGUAAGCUUUCUUCGUCCUCUUCCACCGCCUCUUACUUGCUGCUUCAAUCGCAGGCAAGAAUAGUUUAUCAAGUUCUUGCCUAGCCAUCUAUUUGUACAAUUUCUGCAGCUGUACUUUUGUGCCAUCUUCCUCCCAUUUAUUUCCUCUUGAUUGCAUAGGUUCUUUGACAAUCUGAUUUUGAUUUCUUGAAUGUUUGUAGACUCAAUGAUGGUUGAUCUUGUUAGCUACAGAUGAUAUUCCCUGUUUCGAACAAGAUUGAAUUUUGAUGGACUGCAUAUAGUGUUUGAUUCUCCUACACCGUGCCCUGAAUGAUCUUAUGUUCACCCAGACUUAUAGGUUUCUAAAUACUAGGCUCAUGGGACUUAAUUCUAAUGGUUAGUUUUUUUGGAUUCAUGUACUCUGGUGCUGCAGCCUACGUAAAACUCCUUCACAAUAGUGUUUAAAGCUUAAAUUGAUAACUCUAUCAGAGUUCAAGCAUUAGGCUCUCUGCUCUGUGUAUUGCCAAGUGUUCUAUAUAAUGCUUUGAUGUUCUUUUGUCACUGUUUGAUGUUCUGCCUUGGGUAGCCUCUGUCUUGGUUUACAGCUCCAUAUGGCAACCUAUGUAUACCUAUGUAGGUUUUGUUUGAACUGUACUCAAAUCACCCAUAUGUUUCCAUAGUCUUGCCUUCCUCUUUUUAACUCAUGAGAUUACUAGAUAGUUGAAUAUCAUCCUAAAAUCUAAAAAGUGCACGCACACUUCUUCGUAGGAACGGGCGGCCGGCUUGUUACUCACAUGUGUACUUCCUCUCUCUCAGUUUACAGGGCGUGCGCGUACCCCUAGGUCGUCAAUUUGACUAACCUAAUACAAGUCAUAUAUUACAAAAAAUAUACCAAUAUAAACUUCAGAUGUUCUAUUUUCAAAAGGUAUAAUUUUUGUGUUAUAUAGUUUAUAUUAGGGUGAUAAAAUUGGUAACCUAGGUAUACGCGUAGGACUUAUAAACUGUGAUGGAGGGAGUAUCUUUUUUUGUCAGUUAGUGAAUGUUUUUUGUUAGUAUUAAAUGCGUAUAGACUAGUCUGAGAAACAGAUUCAGGCACAUUUAUUUUGGCCUCUUAAAUUUUUUAAAAGUCAUAUCUUUUAAACCACACGUCGGAAUUCAGAUCCAUUUUCACUGUUGGAUUCAUCGCGACGAGAUCUUCGAAACUAGAUCCCGCAUGAGUAUGUUUCGACAAAAAAAUUUUGAUGCCAACUUUGAUGCUAUAUGAUGCAACUAAAGUACUGCAUUGUGCAACUUUAGUACUACAUGAUGCAACUUUUUUUAAACCAACUUUAGUACUACAUGGCUUGUAAUUUAGUCUAGUUGCACACAUAUUGAUGUUUAGUUGGCUUAUAAUGUAGUCUAGUUGCACACACAUUGAUGUUUAGUUGCCAGAAGGACUAGUUGCACACACAUAUGCUCAGUUGGCUUGUAAUUUAGUCUAGUUGCACACACAUUAAUAUUUAGUUGGCAGGACACUAGUUGCACACACACAUAUGCGCAAUUGACGCGACAAUGUAGUUUAGUUGCACACACAUUGAUAUUUAGUUGACAGGACUAGUUACACACAUAUAUGCUCAGUUAGCGCGGCAAUGUAGUCUAGUUGCACACACAUUGACAUUUAGUUGGCAGGAAGACUAGUUCGUCAAAACAACCCCAUAUGGGAUCUACUUUUGAAGAACACGUCGCGAGGGUUUCAACGAUGAAAACGAAUCUAAAUUUCGACACACGGAUUGAAAGUAUGCCUUUUUAAAAUUUUAAAAUCACAAAAUAAAUACGAACAAACACAUGCACAUGCAUAUGCAUGCACAAGAGGAGAUGCAUAUGCUAGCAUUUAAUACGUAGCAGGAAAAUGGACUAUUAAACCAAAUCUGUAGCAUAGACAGAAAUAAUACGUGCACACAAUUUAGAAUUUAGGCCGGCCGCUCGGUACGGCUACUGAGCAGCCGGCCGCUCGCUAGACUUGCCCGAAUAUCAUUGGUCUCUGUCGGCAUUCUAUUUUCGUAGUUUGAAAUGAAUAUUGGUCUAUUGAUAUUAAACUUCACAAUAGGUAGUGGCAUCUUCAGGAAAAAGUAGUGGCAGACAUGCUGGAAAUUUCUUUUCUACUGCAGGAAUGACACUUGCCCAAAUCCUCAACACAUAUUUUUGUGCUCUCAACCAAAUGUGUGUGCUAUGAUAAUUAAGGUUACCAAGAUGAAUGGUGUUUCUAUAGGGCCGGACAUAUUUCUUAUCUUCAUAAAUCAGUGAUGCACAGAUUAUCUUAGCUAUAUUGUGAAUCUUGAUAACCUCACGAUGAACAAAUUUUGCGGCCUGUAUUUGGGAUAAUUCAAAUUGUUGCGAAAUGUGUUCGUCCAGGAAAAGUCACUACAUCAUAUGUCCUAGAUAAAUCUUUACUGAACAUUUUAGUUUUCCUCAUACAUGCUUAUCAUUUGGCAUAAUGUUAUUUUGCGAGCUUAAUUCUACCCUGAAUAUACAAACAAUCAGUUUGUUUAUUUUUUUUGCUGUCAUAAUAAGACCCUGAAACCAUCUUCCAUCAAACACAUAUCUGUAGUAUCUAUACUAUGUACAAGGUGCAGAUAGAUAUAUUUGUUGACCAAGCAAUUCCCCUCUUUUGAGACAAAGACCAAUAUAUGAUUACCCAUCCCCUGGUUUCCUUUCUAUUUUUUAUUCCAAUAUAACAUGAUGAGCUAUUCGUUGUUUUCUAAUUUCAGUGUAAUCUAAAAUCAGACUGUGCGAACAUAGAUGCAUUUAUUCACAAAUUAGCAAGCACCUGAGUGAAGAACCCUUAAAAUGUAUGGAAAAUGCAAUUACCACCGGCAAAUAAAUUGGCAUUUGUAUUCCAGGUAACAGUCCCGAAAAGAAAGAGGACUAUGGACCUGAGUGGGAAUGGAGGCAGGAUAUUCUUCUGGAUGGCUAUGUUGAGGUGGUGGUUGGUCCGAUCCAUGGUGUACGCAAAAUCGGUCAGCAUGGUGGAGUUGUGCUGUGGGGAGGACACUGGUUUGGAGAUCUAGGCGACUAUCUGCGUGCUGGGUGGAUCAGUAGCCCACCUCGGGAUAGAGGCAAGCGGCGCUUCACGUGUGCCUCGCCAUGCCACAACAGUGGCGUUGACAAUGUUUAAUCCUAAGACCACUAUUUUUGUGUCUAUAUGCAGUGUUCACUUUGUCUAUAUCUUGGCAAUGUUUAAUCAUAAAACCACUAAUUCUGUGUCUAUAUGCAGUGUUCACUUCAUCUAUAUCAUAUUUAUUUUAUAUGGCAAAUCAUCUUUCGAAAUUAACCAAGCCUAACUACACACUAGGAAUAUGGUGAAAACUAAUAUGAAACAACAACUUUUGUCACAUAUACCAAACCAAGGUUGCUUAUCAGUAAACACCUCAUUAUUUAGCAUAUGCUUUAGGGCCAAAUUAUGUUUCAUGUGCCAUUAUUAUUGCCUUUUUUAAUACAUUAUUUAAAUCCUUACGUGACACCAAUCUUAAACAGGUCCAUCUAUCAACGAUGUCGAGAAAGCUCUACCACAAGAAAGUGAUGACUCUGCCUGGUGUCACCGGCUUCAUGUUUUGCUCCUCCGUACCCAUAGACUAGAAGACUAGGGCUAUAUAGAUUGAUUUUUAAAACCAAUGUAAAUAAGUUGUUUUCGGCUAUCAUGCUACCUCGCAUUGUAAUAUAUAUUGCUAUGUAUGAACAUAUGCUACCCAAGUAUAUAUUUCCUUAUGCUUAAAUGACUUUCUUAUCGAUCUUAUAACAUAUCUUAUUUGUAUAGUUUGAAUACAUGGUUUUCUCUCGCUUUUUACGGCAUGGGCGCAACGGGAGUUGAUCACAAAGAGGUAGCAUUCAGGAUAUAUGCACAAAAGAGUAUAGAACCAAAUUAUAUAAUAUAAU